AUGAACGCCGGCGGCGUGCCUAAUACAUGCAAGUCGAGCGAACGGACGAGAAGCUUGCUUCUCUGAUGUUAGCGGCGGACGGGUGAGUAACACGUGGAUAACCUACCUAUAAGACUGGGAUAACUUCGGGAAACCGGAGCUAAUACCGGAUAAUAUUUUGAACCGCAUGGUUCAAAAGUGAAAGACGGUCUUGCUGUCACUUAUAGAUGGAUCCGCGCUGCAUUAGCUAGUUGGUAAGGUAACGGCUUACCAAGGCAACGAUGCAUAGCCGACCUGAGAGGGUGAUCGGCCACACUGGAACUGAGACACGGUCCAGACUCCUACGGGAGGCAGCAGUAGGGAAUCUUCCGCAAUGGGCGAAAGCCUGACGGAGCAACGCCGCGUGAGUGAUGAAGGCCUUCGGAUCGUAAAACUCUGUUAUUAGGGAAGAACAUAUGUGUAAGUAACUGUGCACAUCUUGACGGUACCUAACCAGAAAGCCACGGCUAACUACGUG
RNAcentral lists this ribosomal RNA (496 nucleotides) under uncultured bacterium. Its description in RNAcentral is "partial 16S ribosomal RNA". It matches the Rfam family "Bacterial small subunit ribosomal RNA", at positions 29 to 507 of the family's 1533-position model. The record is from RNAcentral.